Molecule: ribosomal RNA, 402 nt
Filed under: uncultured Lactarius
Lineage: Eukaryota; Fungi; Basidiomycota; Agaricomycetes; Russulales; Russulaceae
Description: eukaryotic LSU rRNA
Rfam family: 5.8S ribosomal RNA (bases 14-167)
Source: RNAcentral
CCGCAAUCAAUACAACUUUCAACAACGGAUCUCUUGGCUCUCGCAUCGAUGAAGAACGCAGCGAAAUGCGAUACGUAAUGUGAAUUGCAGAAUUCAGUGAAUCAUCGAAUCUUUGAACGCACCUUGCGCCCCCUGGUAUUCCGAGGGGCACACCCGUUUGAGUGUCGUGAAAACCUCAACCUCCUUGGUUUCUUCUGGAGACCAAAGCAGGCUUGGACUUUGGAGGCCUUUGCUGGCACCUCUCGCCAGCUCCUCUUAAAUGAAUUAGCAGGGUCCUCUUUGCUGAUCCUCGACGUGUGAUAAGAUGUUUCCAUGUCUUGGUUUCUGGCUCUGUCACCUUUGGGACCCGCUUCUAACCGUCUUCAACCUUGCGUUGAGACAACGUUCGAGCAUGUCUCCCUU